AUUGAACGCUGGCGGCAGGCCUAACACAUGCAAGUCGAACGAGUGGCGGACGGGUGAGUAAUGUCUGGGAACCUGCCCGAUGGAGGGGGAUAACUACUGGAAACGGUAGCUAAUACCGCAUACCAUCGGAUGUGCACAGAUGGGAUUAGCUAGGAGGUGGGGUAACGGCUCACCAAGGCGACGAUCCCUAGCUGGUCUGAGAGGAGGACCAGCCACACUGGAACUGAGACACGGUCCAGACUGCUACGGGAGGCAGCAGUGGGGAAUAUUGCAGAAUGGGCGCAAGCCUGAUGCAGCCAUGCCGCGUGUAUGAAGAAGGCCUGCGGGUUGUAAAGUACUUUCAGCGAGGAGGCGUUACUCGCAGAAGAAGCACCGGCUAACGCCGUGCCAGCAGCCGCGGUAAUAG
This 406-nucleotide ribosomal RNA is filed under the name uncultured bacterium. RNAcentral's name for it is "partial 16S ribosomal RNA". It matches the Rfam family "Bacterial small subunit ribosomal RNA", at positions 29 to 526 of the family's 1533-position model. The record is from RNAcentral.